UCUCCCAAAUUCAAAAUUGAAAUUUACUUACAAGUACAACCUAUUAUAACUUUCCAGUGAGCUAUUAGUUCUGAAACUUGUGAGUCCCAUUGUACCUUCAGUCCUGGCUUGUUUGCGAGCUAUUAUUGUUCUUUUGUUCCUCUCAGCCCAACAAAUUGCAGACAUCACGGGAGGCCAAAUUUUCCUUCCUAUGUUUCUCCCUUUUCUGUUAUUGAAGCUUCUAGUUGUGAAGUAAUAGAACCUGUUGAACCCAUCUGAUCUUGAAACCACUGAUGCUUUUAUACACAACUACAAUGUAGUAGAAGAUGAUUCAGGAUACAGACUAUUCCAAUUUUUUCAUCUGGCACGCGCUCCUUAGCAGAUUGUUGUUGGUGUAGCAUUUUACGAAUUGACGGCGAGGCUAUGAGAUUAUCACUUUGACGACCUCCUCAAGUGCACUCUACUAUACCGGAAACAGGCAUAAAUCACUUCCAAGGUCCAAGCUCGACAGGGCAAAGAUAAACAUGAAAAUGGCUUGACUACUUCAAUAAUAGUAAGGCCCAAUUCCCGCCCGUCAGCUCGGACCAUUCUACUCGCAUCACAAAGAUUUUCGAUGAAAAGUUCUACAGGUCCUAGACCUCACAUGUUUUCCAUCUCUUGAACUGAGGCAAGGUUUUUUGCCCCUUGAAUGUGGCGAUUAUUGGAACCCCAUGUUUAGACUAACCCAAAAGCAAGAGGUUGAAUAUAUUAGUGAAGUUUCAAUUCAGUCGAGGUUUCGUAAAGCUGUAACAGAGCUACAGAUUGCAGGGUUGCUUUGGAUGCCAAGUAAGAGAAGACCGAUUUUGUGCAAAGAGUUGCCUUUGGAUUUUUGGCUGCCAGACAUCAGAGAAAUAGAGAAUUUUCCGAAACGCAGAUUGCAUAAAAGAUAAUGUUGAGUUCUAGUUUUAGUUGGCCAAACUGUAAGUUAGUGAUCCAAAAUAAAAUCAACACACAAGUAUUCAAGGUUCAUAAAAUUUGCUACACAAAUCAAGCCGCAGUAAAAAUGGGAUACGGUUCAAAAUGGUAACAAGCAUGACCAAAUUUCAAGCAUACCCCAAACUGAAUUGAGUAAGAAUCUAUAUAAAUAUACCCACAAAUCAUCACCAUUAAGCACAAACUCAACAUUCCAUUACGAAUUCAAUUUAGUUGCUUUUUUUCAUUAGUUAACAUACUCAUCAUGAUUUUUAAGUUCAUUACCUGUGUUCUAAUGACUCUCUUGCUGGUUUUUAAACCAGCCAUGAGUGUUGCACCUUCAUGUGAUGCUGUCAUCACUAGCUUCGCUCCUUGUUUAUCAUACUUGAUUCAGUCCCUUCAACAAGUUGCUGCGACAAUGUCAGAGCACUCGACCAACAGCUGCCAGAGAAGCAAGAUAGAAAAAGCAUGUGCCAGUGUAUUAAGCUUGCUGUUCCUAUUAUCGGUACCGUCAACAAUACUCGCGUCCAAGAUGUCACUAACAACUGUGGAUCGACACUUUAUAAAUUCCCACUCAUUUCUCCUGACAUGAACUGCGACAGUGUUCAAUAAGAAGAUGAAGAUUUUGGAAGAAAUCUUUCAAGGGACAUGUGAUAUAAAAUGUAUGAAAUCUAAGUAAAUAAAAAUGAAUAAGGAUGACAUUCAAGUUUCUUGCACUAUGUAAUUCGGAGGUUAUUAAUGUUAACCCUGAUAUUAAUGCAUGAUAUGUUCUUCGUUUUUCUUCC
Molecule: long non-coding RNA, 1715 nt
Organism: Papaver somniferum (opium poppy)
Lineage: Eukaryota; Viridiplantae; Streptophyta; Magnoliopsida; Ranunculales; Papaveraceae
Exons: 2
Source: RefSeq, a predicted model, not a curated record